ACCCCUACCCCCUUCCCCGGUUAGCUAUGUCCCUGCAACUGUCCCUUCCUUGUGGCAGCCACAGCGAUUGGCAGCUCCUUUUGAAGCUGUUCUUGGAACUCCCGGGGUGACUUCACUUCCCUCCCAGGGCAGGGCAGGGUGGAGGAGGGCUCUCUUUUCUUCUGGUUCUCGAUGUUUUGAAGCCCCAGGUGCUGAGGCUCUUAAGGCUAGAGGAGAUGGCCAGGGCAGAGCAGGGCUGCCCAGUAGCUGACUCAUCUGACAUUACCAUAAUUACAGCGAUUUUCAAACUGUGAGUAAUGCCUGGUGUCAGAGAAUGUCAGGGAACGUUUCUGAGCACUCCCAGCCGCUGCUCGAGGCUGAACCAAGCCAAGGGCAGGGAAGUGCCCUGGGACACCACCUGCCUCAGCCAGCAGAUCUAGGAAAAGCUGUGUUUAAAGUCUGUGACAAUUGUCUGGGGAUAGAGACCCACAACUGUAAUCAACACUUGAGAGGCUGAGGCAGGAGAAUUACUCUUUCAGAGUGGCAGUCUGUGGUUGGUAAGCUCUUACUGGAUGAGGAUCUGUAGCGUCCCAGGACUCUAGAAACACACUCUAGAAUCUACUGCGGUGUGAUUCCAAGCCCAUCGCGUUGACGGUGAAGACUAACCAUCUCAGUUCACAGCUAGAAGAUGAGACACCAGCCUCACCAUUCCCUUCAAAGACGCAUCGCCUGUGGCACCCCUCCCCCAUUCAAAGACGCAUCGCCUGUGACACCACCUCUCCCCCAUUCAAAGACGCAUCACUUGUGACACCCCUCCCCCAAACAUCCACCAUUUAUCUAAUGCCAUGCUGGGAAGCAAGCCUUUAUUACACAGGCCUUUAGGGGACCGGAUGGAGUAGCUAUGUAAUAAAAGUUUGUCCGUGCCCUGAGCAUGUGUAUAGCAUUGAG
Molecule: long non-coding RNA, 927 nt
Filed under: Cricetulus griseus (Chinese hamster)
Lineage: Eukaryota; Metazoa; Chordata; Mammalia; Rodentia; Cricetidae
Description: lncRNA (ENSCGRG00015034380.1)
Source: RNAcentral